This 264-nucleotide ribosomal RNA is filed under the name uncultured Streptococcus sp. RNAcentral describes it as "partial 16S ribosomal RNA". It matches the Rfam family "Bacterial small subunit ribosomal RNA", at positions 1115 to 1382 of the family's 1533-position model. The record is from RNAcentral. Lineage: Bacteria; Bacillati; Bacillota; Bacilli; Lactobacillales; Streptococcaceae.
UUGCCAUCAUUCAGUUGGGCACUCUAGCGAGACUGCCGGUAAUAACCGGAGGAAGGUGGGAUGACGUCAAAUCAUCAUGCCCCUUAUGACCUGGGCUACACACGUGCUACAAUGGUUGGUACAACGAGUUGCGAGUCGGUGACGGCGAGCUAAUCUCUUAAAGCCAAUCUCAGUUCGGAUUGUAGGCUGCAACUCGCCUACAUGAAGUCGGAAUCGCUAGUAAUCGCGGAUCAGCACGCCGCGGUGAAUACGUUCCCGGGCCUU